UGGGGAAUCUUGGACAAUGGGCGCAAGCCUGAUCCAGCCAUGCCGCGUGAGUGAUGAAGGUCUUCGGAUUGUAAAGCUCUGUCUUUGGGGACGAUAAUGACGGUACCCAAGGAGGAAGCCACGGCUAACUACGUGC
RNAcentral lists this ribosomal RNA (136 nucleotides) under uncultured bacterium. Its description in RNAcentral is "partial 16S ribosomal RNA". It matches the Rfam family "Bacterial small subunit ribosomal RNA", at positions 355 to 508 of the family's 1533-position model. The record is from RNAcentral.